AUACGUAGGGGGCGAGCGUUGUCCGGAAUGAUUGGGCGUAAAGGGCGCGUAGGCGGCCCGGUAAGUCUGGAGUGAAAGUCCUGCUUUUAAGGUGGGAAUUGCUUUGGAUACUGUCGGGCUUGAGUGCAGGAGAGGUAAGUGGAAUUCCCAGUGUAGCGGUGAAAUGCGUAGAGAUUGGGAGGAACACCAGUGGCGAGGGCGACUUACUGGACUGUAACUGACGCUGAGGCGCGAAAGUGUGGGGAGCAAACAGGAUUAGAUACCCUGGUAGUCCACACUGUAAACGAUGAAUGCUAGGUGUAGGGGGUAUCGACCCCUUCUGUGCCGCAGUAAACACAAUAAGCAUUCCGCCUGGGGAGUACGACCGCAAGGUUGAAACUCAAAUGAAUUGACGGGG
This 397-nucleotide ribosomal RNA is filed under the name uncultured bacterium. Its description in RNAcentral is "partial 16S ribosomal RNA". It matches the Rfam family "Bacterial small subunit ribosomal RNA", at positions 523 to 918 of the family's 1533-position model. The record is from RNAcentral.